RNAcentral lists this ribosomal RNA (478 nucleotides) under uncultured bacterium. RNAcentral describes it as "partial 16S ribosomal RNA". It matches the Rfam family "Bacterial small subunit ribosomal RNA", at positions 28 to 523 of the family's 1533-position model. The record is from RNAcentral.
GACGAACGCUGGCGGCGUGCUUAACACAUGCAAGUCGAACGGUAAGGCCCUUCGGGGUACACGAGUGGCGAACGGGUGAGUAACACGUGGGUGACCUGCCCUGCGCUUCGGGAUAAGCCUGGGAAACUGGGUCUAAUACUGGAUAGGACCCUGGGAUGCAUGUCCUGGGGUGGAAAGCUUUUGCGGUGUGGGAUGGGCCCGCGGCCUAUCAGCUUGUUGGUGGGGUGAUGGCCUACCAAGGCGACGACGGGUAGCCGGCCUGAGAGGGUGACCGGCCAAACUGGGACUGAGAUACGGCCCAGACUCCUACGGGAGGCAGCAGUGGGGAAUAUUGCACAAUGGGCGCAAGCCUGAUGCAGCGACGCCGCGUGAGGGAUGACGGCCUUCGGGUUGUAAACCUCUUUCAGCACCGACGAAGCGCAAGUGACGGUAGGUGCAGAAGAAGGACCGGCCAACUACGUGCCAGCCGCCGCGGUAA